RNAcentral lists this ribosomal RNA (388 nucleotides) under uncultured bacterium. RNAcentral describes it as "bacterial SSU rRNA". It matches the Rfam family "Bacterial small subunit ribosomal RNA", at positions 30 to 417 of the family's 1533-position model. The record is from RNAcentral.
AUUGAACGCUGGCGGCAUGCCUUACACAUGCAAGUCGAACGGCAGCACGGGAGCAAUCCUGGUGGCGAGUGGCGAACGGGUGAGUAAUGUAUCGGAACGUACCUUUCAGUGGGGGAUAACGUAGCGAAAGUUACGCUAAUACCGCAUAUUCUGUGAGCAGGAAAGCAGGGGAUCGCAAGACCUUGCGCUGAUUGAGCGGCCGAUAUCAGAUUAGCUAGUUGGUGAGGUAAAGGCUCACCAAGGCGACGAUCUGUAGCGGGUCUGAGAGGAUGAUCCGCCACACUGGAACUGAGACACGGUCCAGACUCCUACGGGAGGCAGCAGUGGGGAAUUUUGGACAAUGGGCGGCAAGCCUGAUCCAGCCAUGCCGCGUGAGUGAAGAAGGCCU